Molecule: long non-coding RNA, 377 nt
Organism: Carcharodon carcharias (great white shark)
Lineage: Eukaryota; Metazoa; Chordata; Chondrichthyes; Lamniformes; Lamnidae
Exons: 3
Source: RefSeq, a predicted model, not a curated record
CAGAGCUGAGAGGAAUGUAUUAAUGGCGGUUGAUGUGCCAGCUUCCACCAAGCCGAACAUGGAAUGUUAUGGACAAGGAAGAGUACAAGAGGAUAUUCUGAUGGACACUCCUGCAUGUGGAGCAGAUCCCAGGAUUCCAUGUGUCCUGUUCGUUUACAAUGUUUCUCGUGAAACUGAGGAUCUCCGCAAUGCUCAAAAAUGGGUUCAAAAGGGAGUAUGGUUAUCACAGUUGGCUUGAUGGCUAGUGUGUGGUUCAGAAUAAGGCCUACAGCACAGAUUUGAUUCCCAUUCCAGCUGAGGUAGACUUGGGACCUGGCUCCUCCCCAGCAAACUACCAGUGCCAGAACUGCCAAGAACAAAGGCUGAGGAAGAAGCAC